Carlito syrichta (Philippine tarsier) is the source of this 436-nucleotide RNA transcript. It is a transcript of the gene named 40S ribosomal protein S17 pseudogene, with no coding region annotated. The record is from RefSeq and is a predicted model, not a curated record. The transcript has a single exon. Lineage: Eukaryota; Metazoa; Chordata; Mammalia; Primates; Tarsiidae.
AUGGGCCAUGUUCGAACCAAAACUGUGUAGCGGGUGGCCUGGGUCAUCAUUGAGAAGCAUUACAUGCACCUGGGCAACGACUUCCACACAAUCAUGUGUAUGAGAAGAUUGCCAUUAUUCCCAGCAAGAAACUCUGCAACAAGAUAGCCAGCUAUGUCAUGUAUUAUCUGAUGAAGCGAAUCCAGAGGGGCCCAGUGAGAGAGGCAUCUUCAUCAAGUUGCAGGAGGAGGAGAGCAAAAGGAGGGGCAAUUACCUUCCAGAGGUCUCAGCCUUGGAUCAGGAGAUCACUGAAGUAGAUCCUGACACUAAGGAAAUGCUGAAGCUUUUGGACUUUGGCAGUCUGUCCAACCUGCAGGUCACUCAACCUAUAGUUGGGAUGAACUUCAAAAUGCCUCGUGGAGCUGUUUGAAUCUUUCUGUGAUGCUAUAAUAUUUUC